This is a long non-coding RNA of Cyprinus carpio (common carp), 1562 nucleotides long. NCBI's taxonomy places the organism in Eukaryota, Metazoa, Chordata, Actinopteri, Cypriniformes, Cyprinidae. The record is from Ensembl.
UAGGUCUUGCCCAAAAGAUCUGAUUGCAACCAUGUGCUUUACGUCAUGUUUUUGGUCUCCUCCAGGUUGUGCUUGGACCGCUGCCCUCAGUGGAGGUGUAAUCAUUCACUGUACAGUGCAGACGUCAGCUUUACUGGUACCAGAUGGAGAGACCGAGCCUGUGUUUACCUGGACCAGCGGACACAUAUAUAAAUGUCCCAGACCGAUAUGUGAAAUCUGACCUCAGGCCAGCCAGAGAGGCUGUUCUCCAUCCAGUCCAGAUGUUCAGACAGACCGGAGGAGCUGAAACAGGACAGUGAAGAGAAUGCCUGAGGAGCGAACACGCAUGCACACACACGCACAAGCAGAGAGUCGCCGAGUGCUGCGGGGACUGAUGUCCCCAGACGCUCCACAUGGACACAGUAAGGAAGAGGUCAUGGCUAUAUUCAGCAAGGUCAUCAAAGAGCCUGGAGAGGGAAAUUACAGAUGCUGGUUGAUGCAGCAUGAGACAAAGACAACCGUGUGUGUAUGUGUGUGUGCGUGUUCAUCUGGUGUUGCUCUUGCUUGACUGACAAAUCAAUGGACUUCAGGAGUUACGAAUCAAAGCAGGGGGGAAGAACAAAACCCACCACACACAGAUCAGAGGGCUGUGUUCUCCAGGACAGAGAGGGGUCUUCUGGGUACUGGCUGAACUGACAACCCCUGGAGCAGCUACGCGACGCUCUGCACAAAUUAAACUGACAGCAGUUUUCUCCACAGAAACUAUAAAGUCCUGACAAGCAUAAAAUUGUGUUAUGUACAGUUAUUUGCCUAGGCUGUUGUUUAUACUGAGAAAAAACACUCUUAUAUGUUUUCAGUGGUGUUUACUCAUACUAAAAUACUCUGACAGUGUCAUUCAGCAGUGACAUGACACCGCUUCUAAAUCAACAGCAUGAAAUAGAGAGCGUAGUGUAGUUUGAUUCCUGAAUGAACAACUCUGGUUCUUAAUGAAUCAAAAAAUUGUAGUGUGACCAGUAUAGUCUGAUUCCGAAUGAAUAUAUCUUUAGAGACUGUUUUUAAAUCAAAAAUAUACAGUGCGACCUGUCUAGUCCUGAUCCUGAAUGAAAUGACUCUUAUGAGUUGACUCGUUUUAGUGAAUCACAUACUUAGAAUCCAGCCAGUACAGUUCAAUUCCCGAACAAAUCCCUCUUAUGAACCAGUACUUUUUAGCGAUUUAAAAAGAUGCAGCACAGCUAGUCCAAUUCUGAAAAAAAUCCAUCUUUUUUGAGCCUGUUUUGUGAAUCAGAAAUAUACAGCACAAAAGCAGUAUAGUCUGGAACCCGAAUGAAAUGACUCUUAUGGGUUUAGUGAAUCAUGUACUUAUAGCACCACCAGUGUAGUUUUAAUUUAUGAAUCACUCUUAUGAACUGGUUCUUUUUAGUGAUGCUGCAGAGUCCGACUCCCAAACGAACAACUCUUAUGAUUCAAUUCUUUUUAAUGAAUCAAACACAUUUAGCAUGGCCAGUGUAAUUAAAUUUUGAAGGAACCAGUCUUCUGAGCCAGUUUUGUAAAUCACAAAUAAACAGUGUGACCAGUGUAGACCA